Molecule: ribosomal RNA, 497 nt
Filed under: uncultured bacterium
Lineage: Bacteria
Description: bacterial SSU rRNA
Rfam family: Bacterial small subunit ribosomal RNA
Source: RNAcentral
ACUCAAAGGAAUAGACGGGGGCCCGCACAAGCGGUGGAGCAUGUGGUUUAAUUCGAUGCAACGCGAAAAACCUUACCUGGGCUUGAACUGUGGUCGCAAACUCAUGAAAGUGAGUCCUCCUUCGGGACGGCCAUAGAGGUGCUGCAUGGCUGUCGUCAGCUCGUGCCGUGAGGUGUUGGGUUAAGUCCCGCAACGAGCGCAACCCUUGCCCUUAGUUGCCAACAGGUUAUGCUGGGAACUCUAAGGGGACUGCCCCAGACAAUGGGGAGGAAGGUGGGGACGACGUCAAGUCAUCAUGGCCCUUACGUCCAGGGCUACACACGUGCUACAAUGGCCGGUACAAUGGGAAGCAAUACCGCGAGGUGGAGCAAAUCCUAAAAACCGGUCUCAGUUCAGAUUGCAGUCUGCAACUCGACUGCAUGAAGUCGGAAUCGCUAGUAAUCGUGGAUCAGCAUGCCACGGUGAAUACGUUCCCGGGCCUUGUACACACCGCCCGU